UCCUUUUCUGUGAGGGUCUGCUGGGGUCC
This 29-nucleotide non-coding RNA is filed under the name Homo sapiens (human). Lineage: Eukaryota; Metazoa; Chordata; Mammalia; Primates; Hominidae. The record is from RNAcentral.